RNAcentral lists this ribosomal RNA (499 nucleotides) under uncultured bacterium. RNAcentral's name for it is "bacterial SSU rRNA". It matches the Rfam family "Bacterial small subunit ribosomal RNA", at positions 28 to 526 of the family's 1533-position model. The record is from RNAcentral.
GAUGAACGCUAGCGGCAGGCUUAACACAUGCAAGUCGAGGGGUAGAGGUUGCUUGCAACCUUGAGACCGGCGCACGGGUGCGUAACGCGUAUGCAAUCUACCUUUUGCAGAGGGAUAGCCCAGAGAAAUUUGGAUUAAUACCUCAUAGUAUGUGAGAAUGGCAUCCUUUUCACAUUAAAGUUACAACGGCAAAAGAUGAGCAUGCGUCCCAUUAGCUAGUUGGGAAGGUAACGGCUUACCAAGGCUACGAUGGGUAGGGGUCCUGAGAGGGAGAUCCCCCACACUGGUACGGAGACACGGACCAGACUCCUACGGGAGGCAGCAGUGAGGAAUAUUGGACAAUGGGCGCAAGCCUGAUCCAGCCAUGCCGCGUGCAGGAUGACGGUCCUAUGGAUUGUAAACUGCUUUUGUACGGGAAGAAACCCUCCUACGUGUAGGAGCUUGACGGUACCGUAAGAAUAAGGAUCGGCUAACUCCGUGCCAGCCGCCGCCGUAAUAC